GUGGCUGUGGCUCAGUGGUAGAGCGCUUGCCUAGCAUGCAUGAGCCACUGGGUUCAAUGCUCAGCACCACU
This 71-nucleotide transfer RNA is filed under the name Marmota marmota marmota (Alpine marmot). The stretch from base 6 to 66 matches the Rfam family "tRNA", at positions 6 to 65 of the family's 71-position model. Rfam says of the family: Transfer RNA (tRNA) molecules are approximately 80 nucleotides in length. Their secondary structure includes four short double-helical elements and three loops (D, anti-codon, and T loops). RNAcentral also lists the same sequence under 1 other name. Lineage: Eukaryota; Metazoa; Chordata; Mammalia; Rodentia; Sciuridae. The record is from Rfam by way of RNAcentral.